RNAcentral lists this ribosomal RNA (253 nucleotides) under uncultured bacterium. Its description in RNAcentral is "partial 16S ribosomal RNA". It matches the Rfam family "Bacterial small subunit ribosomal RNA", at positions 524 to 776 of the family's 1533-position model. The record is from RNAcentral.
UACAGAGGUCUCGAGCGUUGUUCGGAUUCAUUGGGCGUAAAGGGCGCGUAGGCGGCGGGGUAAGUCUGGUGUGAAAUCUCGGAGCUCAACUCCGAAAUUGCACUGGAUACUGCUCUGCUAGAGGGCUGGAGAGGAGAUCGGAAUUCACGGUGUAGCAGUGAAAUGCGUAGAUAUCGUGAGGAAGACCAGUGGCGAAGGCGGAUCUCUGGACAGCUCCUGACGCUGAGGCGCGAAGGCUAGGGGAGCAACCGGG